GAAUAGACUACCCAGGUAGUCCACGCCCUAAACGAUGCGAACUGGAUGUUGGGUACAUUACGGUACUCAGUGUCGAAGCUAACGCGUUAAGUUCGCCGCCUGGGGAGUACGGUCGCAAGACUGAAACUCAAAGGAAUUGACGGGGGCCCGCACAAGCGGUGGAGUACGUGGUUUAAUUCGAUGCAACGCGAAGAACCUUACCUGGCCUUGACAUCUGUCGAAUCCUGCAGAGAUGCGGGAGUGCCGCAAGGAACGACAAGACAGGUGCUGCAUGGCUGUCGUCAGCUCGUGUCGUGAGAUGUUGGGUUAAGUCCCGCAACGAGCGCAACCCUUGUCCCUAGUUGCCAGCACGUAAUGGUGGGAACUCUAGGGGAGACUGCCGGUGACAAACCGGAGGAAGGUGGGGAUGACGUCAAGUCCUCAUGGCCCUUACGGCCAGGGCUACACACGUACUACAAUGGUCGGUACAGAGGGUUGCGAAGCCGCGAGGUGGAGCCAAUCCCAGAAAACCGAUCCCAGUCCGGAUCGGAGUCUGCAACUCG
RNAcentral lists this ribosomal RNA (542 nucleotides) under uncultured bacterium. RNAcentral describes it as "bacterial SSU rRNA". It matches the Rfam family "Bacterial small subunit ribosomal RNA", at positions 776 to 1314 of the family's 1533-position model. The record is from RNAcentral.